AUGAACGCUGGCGGCGUGCCUCAUACAUGCCAGUCGAGCGCACGGACGAGAAGCUUGCUUUUCUGAUGUUAGCGGCGGACGGGUGAGUAACACGUGGAUAACCUACCUAUAAGACUGGGAUAACUUCGGGAAACCGGAGCUAAUACCGGAUAAUAUUUUGAACCGCAUGGUUCAAAAGUGAAAGACGGUCUUGCUGUCACUUAUAGAUGGAUCCGCGCUGCAUUAGCUAGUUGGUAAGGUAACGGCUUACCAAGGCAACGAUGCAUAGCCGACCUGAGAGGGUGAUCGGCCACACUGGAACUGAGACACGGUCCAGACUCCUACGGGAGGCAGCAGUAGGGAAUCUUCCGCAAUGGGCGAAAGCCUGACGGAGCAACGCCGCGUGAGUGAUGAAGGUCUUCGGAUCGUAAAACUCUGUUAUUAGGGAAGAACAUAUGUGUAAGUAACUGUGCACAUCUUGACGGUACCUAAUCAGAAAGCCACGGCUAACUACGUG
Molecule: ribosomal RNA, 496 nt
Filed under: uncultured bacterium
Lineage: Bacteria
Description: partial 16S ribosomal RNA
Rfam family: Bacterial small subunit ribosomal RNA
Source: RNAcentral